Molecule: long non-coding RNA, 205 nt
Filed under: Elaeis guineensis (African oil palm)
Lineage: Eukaryota; Viridiplantae; Streptophyta; Magnoliopsida; Arecales; Arecaceae
Description: long non-coding RNA (EGUI_LNC076867)
Source: RNAcentral
GUGGCCUCCUCAUCCUUCAGCUUGAAGGCUUUCUCUGCUCGGGCAUAUCCUUUGGUCCGAGCCAGCAAAUCAGUGAAAUUCCUGGGAUACUUCUUUUUCAAAAAAAAUAGAAGGUCAUUCUUUUGAGACUACUCUUCAGGACAGCCAUUGCAACUGAUUGGUCCAAGUUCCGGACCUCCAAUGCGGUGGCGUUAAAAUGGUUGAC